CUGCAUGAACUAUAUCUGGAGUAAUCAGAUGUACAUGUGUAUCAAUUCCACCAGCAGUUACUAUAAGUCCUUCUCCUGCUAUAGAUUCUGUACUUGCUCCUACAACAAAAUCUAUAUUAUCCAUUAAAUCUGGGUUUCCACCUUUUCCAAUAGCAAUUAUCUUUCCAUCUCUAAUUCCUAUAUCUGCUUUAUAUACUCCAGUGUAAUCUAUUAUUACAACACUAUUUAUUAUUGUAUCUACAACUAAAGGAUUUCCUUCUCUAGUUUCUAUAGGAUUUAAUCCCAUUCCGUCUCUUAG
Small RNA from Cetobacterium somerae ATCC BAA-474, 298 nucleotides. It matches the Rfam family "5' ureB small RNA". The record is from Rfam. Lineage: Bacteria; Fusobacteriati; Fusobacteriota; Fusobacteriia; Fusobacteriales; Fusobacteriaceae.